UUUAUCGGAGAGUUUGAUCCUGGCUCAGGACGAACGCUGGCGGCGUGCCUAAUACAUGCAAGUCGAGCGGACAGAUGGGAGCUUGCUCCCUGAUGUUAGCGGCGGACGGGUGAGUAACACGUGGGUAACCUGCCUGUAAGACUGGGAUAACUCCGGGAAACCGGGGCUAAUACCGGAUGCUUAUUUGAACCGCAUGGUUCAAAUAUAAAAGGUGGCUUCGGCUACCACUUACAGAUGGACCCGCGGCGCAUUAGCUAGUUGGUGAGGUAACGGCUCACCAAGGCAACGAUGCGUAGCCGACCUGAGAGGGUGAUCGGCCACACUGGGACUG
Molecule: ribosomal RNA, 331 nt
Filed under: Bacillus subtilis
Lineage: Bacteria; Bacillati; Bacillota; Bacilli; Caryophanales; Bacillaceae
Also listed under: 1 other name
Description: bacterial SSU rRNA
Rfam family: Bacterial small subunit ribosomal RNA
Source: RNAcentral